Molecule: non-coding RNA, 929 nt
Organism: Dermacentor andersoni
Lineage: Eukaryota; Metazoa; Arthropoda; Arachnida; Ixodida; Ixodidae
Source: RefSeq, a predicted model, not a curated record
GCAUGAGUUGCCGCCAAAUGCUAGCUCUGGAUGCCAGCUCGUUCCGCGUCUCAUGGUAGACUAGUUGGUGCAUUUCUGUUAUCAUGGACUGCGCAUAUAAACGCAAGCUACACAAAAGUGACAUGGACAAGAACAGCGCAAGCCCUUUACAUGCAGUGGAGCCGCCGUAUCUCGCCGUUCAAGAUAUGCGUACUCGCAAAAAAAAAAAAGGCUUUACAUGAGAACGGAUCAAGCGUUCGAGAGUUGGGACAGGGAAAUGUGAGACGUACUUUCAUGUAUAUAUUUCUAAUAUUAUUUUUUCGUCUUGUAUUCUCGUUAAUUUUUCUCUAGGAAACACUGGAACGACACUGCUUAAAUUGAAGCACAGUGUGCGAAUGACCUGCUACGCUCGGAACUGUUAUCACCAUUCGGGAAGAAAUUGGAUGAAAAAACAUAACUGUAAAUACCUGUAUGAUAUACGUCUGGUGCAUUACAGGUAAGAAUGGAUUGUGUGUGGCGCGCUUCACCGCAUGUGGACUAGAGUAGAUCUAGGAACAUCAGACAAGAAGACACGUAUGUGAAACCCUGCGGAUAGCCCAUAUGUGAACUUUUUUUCCAGAAACGGAGGAACGGACACCGGUCGUGCCGUGAGCACUAUUCUGCAGGGCAUACUUACAAAUGAAGCUGCACUGCAGUUCAGCUGGAAAGGGUCGCAGGGGAGGAAGCACGCCUUCGUGAAGCUCAUGGCCAUCACGAAUAUAACAUCUGUGAGGAGCACGUUCCCUGACGCUUCACUAGCAUCAGUGGCUGGAGUCGCAAAACGCUGGUUGGUUGGAGCAGCUGACAGGGAUGGAGGCCGGAAUGAAAGAAGGCGCCGUGACCCUGCUUCAAGCCCACCAAAUAUGAACUAGUGUUUGAAACUUGUGAACGUGUCGGUGUACAUAUGCAAU